GGGGAAUAUUGGGCAAUGGACGCAAGUCUGACCCAGCGACGCCGCGUGAAGGAAGAAGGCUUUCGGGUUGUAAACUUCUUUUAAGGGGGAAGAGUAGAAGACGGUACCCCUUGAAUAAGCCACGGCUAACUACGUGCCAGCAGCCGCGGUAAUACGUAGGUGGCAAGCGUUAUCCGGAUUUACUGGGUGUAAAGGGCGUGUAGGCGGGACUGUAAGUCAGGCGUGAAAAUUAUGGGCUCAACCCAUAACCUGCGUUUGAAACUACUUUUCUUGAGUAUCGGAGAGGUAAUCGGAAUUCCUUGUGUAGCGGUGAAAUGCGUAGAUAUAAGGAAGAACACCAGUGGCGAAGGCGGAUUACUGGACGACAACUGACGGUGAGGCGCGAAAGCGUGGGGAGCAAACA
Molecule: ribosomal RNA, 403 nt
Filed under: uncultured Oscillibacter sp.
Lineage: Bacteria; Bacillati; Bacillota; Clostridia; Eubacteriales; Oscillospiraceae
Description: bacterial SSU rRNA
Rfam family: Bacterial small subunit ribosomal RNA
Source: RNAcentral